GUGUGUCUGAAGUCACACAAUUCUGUGUGUCUCGUGACAACAGAGGCUGGUGCUGAUGGUUUUCCUCCUGAAAGGUUACAAUUUUGGAAAGGAAAAGGAAAAAAAAACACACACAGAAGAAAA
Non-coding RNA from Tinamus guttatus (white-throated tinamou), 123 nucleotides. The record is from RefSeq and is a predicted model, not a curated record. NCBI's taxonomy places the organism in Eukaryota, Metazoa, Chordata, Aves, Tinamiformes, Tinamidae.